UUUAUCUGAGAAGAGCAAAUAACACAAAAUGUUAUAGAUUUCACAUUUACCAAUUCGCAUUAUUAAAAUAAUUACGAGGAUUUGAGAAAGCCUCUUAAUAUACUCAAAUGCCAAACCCUACGAUAAUGUUUAAUAAAUUAUAAAAUGUUAUCUAAAAUGCUAAGCUCUACAUAACAAUGCGAGUCGUACUUAUUGGACGUUUGAUAUUUCCUACUUAUACUAAUUUUAUCAAUUACCAAGUAAAUUUAUAUAUUUUUAUCAAAUCACAUAAAAUUUAUGUCAGAUUUAAUGAAUCUGACAUAUAUGAUUUGUAAAAUUACAAAGAGUGUGCCAUUAUAGUAAAACGAUUUAUAAAGUUCAUCGCGGACCGAUUAACAAUUCAAUUAAACAAAUUAUCUUGUAUUUUAAAGUGAUAUUUCGACUCUGUUACUGUUCAUUUGAAUUAUUUGUACGGUCGUCGAAAGUAGUGCAUAUAGUACCUAAACGGACGGUAAAUAAGUUUAAUACUCAAGAAGCGGUUUAGUCAGACGGCGUUUUCGUUCUGUUAAUAAUGUCAUCUUCAAAAAACACACAAUCGUCGUCUGGGUUCAAGCCCAAAGAUCAACAACCACCAAAAGUCUAUGUCGAGAUGCGAGAUAAAAACUUCGCUGAAAAAGCUCGUCAGAAAGAUGGUCUGCCGCCGGUGGACAAAUAUUCGUCGAAAUCGCAGUUUCCGCCGCUUGGAUCUAAACCAAACUUCGGCCAAAUGAAAGAUUCAAAAAAGAAGUGAUUUAAAAAAAAAAAAAAGUGUAUCAUCUUACUGAAAAUAAAUGUACCACGACAAC
Molecule: long non-coding RNA, 824 nt
Organism: Aphis gossypii (cotton aphid)
Lineage: Eukaryota; Metazoa; Arthropoda; Insecta; Hemiptera; Aphididae
Exons: 2
Source: RefSeq, a predicted model, not a curated record